This is a non-coding RNA of Oesophagostomum dentatum (nodular worm), 70 nucleotides long. Lineage: Eukaryota; Metazoa; Nematoda; Chromadorea; Rhabditida; Strongylidae. The record is from the annotation of a GenBank genome assembly.
UCAGUUAUGGCGCAGCGGUUAUUGUGUUAGCCUUGGACGGCAGAGGUCAUGGGUUCGACUCCUGAUUGGG